This 275-nucleotide RNase P RNA is filed under the name Candidatus Heimdallarchaeota archaeon. RNAcentral's name for it is "RNase P RNA component". It matches the Rfam family "Archaeal RNase P". Rfam says of the family: Ribonuclease P (RNase P) is a ubiquitous endoribonuclease, found in archaea, bacteria and eukarya as well as chloroplasts and mitochondria. Its best characterised activity is the generation of mature 5'-ends of tRNAs by cleaving the 5'-leader elements of precursor-tRNAs. Lineage: Archaea; Promethearchaeati; Candidatus Heimdallarchaeota. The record is from RNAcentral.
UGGAGUGAGAGGAUGGUUCAGGUCAUUUGAUCAGGAAAGUCCAGCUUCCAUCGAGUAAUAGGUACUGAUGCAAAUCAGUUAAACGAGAGUUUGGCUCUGACAACAGCAACGUACGCUCUUUGAGCCUGAAACGGGUCAUCACCUAGGAACAAUUGAAACAGAAUCCUUUGAUAUGCUCGAUUAGGAUUCGGGUACAUGCAUAGAUAAAUACCAUCAUGAGAAUUGCAGAAUUAAUUUCAUGCGCUUUAACACAAGCUGGCUUACUCCUCACACCA